GUGGAUAUAGCUCAGUGGUACAGCACAUACUUAGCAUGUGUGAGACCCUGGGUUCAAUCCCCAGUAACUCCA
Molecule: transfer RNA, 72 nt
Filed under: Camelus bactrianus (Bactrian camel)
Lineage: Eukaryota; Metazoa; Chordata; Mammalia; Artiodactyla; Camelidae
Also listed under: 1 other name
Rfam family: tRNA
About the family: Transfer RNA (tRNA) molecules are approximately 80 nucleotides in length.
Source: Rfam by way of RNAcentral